RNAcentral lists this ribosomal RNA (242 nucleotides) under uncultured bacterium. Its description in RNAcentral is "partial 16S ribosomal RNA". It matches the Rfam family "Bacterial small subunit ribosomal RNA", at positions 532 to 774 of the family's 1533-position model. The record is from RNAcentral.
GGGCUAGCGUUAUCCGGAAUUACUGGGCGUAAAGGGUGCGUAGGCGGUCUUUCAAGUCAGAAGUGAAAGGCUACGGCUCAACCGUAGUAAGCUUUUGAAACUGUAAGACUUGAGUGCAGGAGAGGAGAGUGGAAUUCCUAGUGUAGCGGUGAAAUGCGUAGAUAUUAGGAGGAACACCAGUUGCGAAGGCGGCUCUCUGGACUGUAACGGACGCUGAGGCACGAGAGCGUGGGGAGCAAACA